GAUGAACGCUGACAGAAUGCUUAACACAUGCGAGUCAACUUGAAUUUGGGUUUUUAACUUAGGUUUGGGUGGCGGACGGGUGAGUAACGCGUAAAGAACUUGCCUCACAGCUAGGGACAACAUUUGGAAACGAAUGCUAAUACCUAAUAUUAUGAUAAUAGGGCAUCCUAUAAUUAUGAAAGCUAUAAGCGCUGUGAGAGAGCUUUGCGUCCCAUUAGCUAGUUGGAGAGGUAACGGCUCACCAAGGCGAUGAUGGGUAGCCGGCCUGAGAGGGUGAUCGGCCACAAGGGGACUGAGACACGGCCCUUACUCCUACGGGAGGCAGCAGUGGGGAAUAUUGGACAAUGGACCAAGAGUCUGAUCCAGCAAUUCUGUGUGCACGAUGAAGUUUUUCGGAAUGUAAAGUGCUUUCAGUUGGGAAGAAAGAAAUGACGGUACCAACAGAAGAAGUGACGGCUAAAUACGUG
Molecule: ribosomal RNA, 467 nt
Filed under: uncultured bacterium
Lineage: Bacteria
Description: partial 16S ribosomal RNA
Rfam family: Bacterial small subunit ribosomal RNA
Source: RNAcentral